This 99-nucleotide non-coding RNA is filed under the name Eubacterium sp. RNAcentral describes it as "ZTP sequence". It matches the Rfam family "ZMP/ZTP riboswitch aptamer (pfl RNA motif)". Rfam says of the family: Previously known as pfl RNA. ZMP is also known as AICAR. The record is from RNAcentral. Lineage: Bacteria; Bacillati; Bacillota; Clostridia; Eubacteriales; Eubacteriaceae. RNAcentral also lists the same sequence under 1 other name.
UUAUAGAUACAUGACUGACGGAAAUGCAUAUUUAUUGCAGGUAGAAUUAACUACAGGAAAUGUAUCUGGCUAUUUUGGUCGACCGUCUGGGCAAUUUUU